This 409-nucleotide ribosomal RNA is filed under the name uncultured bacterium. RNAcentral describes it as "bacterial SSU rRNA". It matches the Rfam family "Bacterial small subunit ribosomal RNA", at positions 361 to 769 of the family's 1533-position model. The record is from RNAcentral.
AUAUUGCUCAAUGGGAGAAAUCCUGAAGCAGCAACGCCGCGUGGAGGAUGAAGGGUCUAUGACUUGUAAACUCCUGUAAAGAAGGAAAAAAUUCCCAUUUGAUGGGAGAUGAUGGUACUUCUGGAGUAAGCACCGGCUAACUACGUGCCAGCAGCCGCGGUAAUACGCAGGGGGCAAGCGUUGUCCGGAUUUACUGGGUGUAAAGGGUGCUCAGGCGGAUUUGUAAGUCAGAGGUGAAAUCUUACAGCUUAACUGUGAAACUGACAUUGUUGCUGCAAGCCUAGAGUAUGGUAGAGAGUGAUGGAAUGUCUGGUGUAGCAGUGAAAUGCGUAGAUAUCAGAUAGGACACCAAUGGCGAAGGCAGUCACUUGGUCCAUUACUGACGCUAAAGCACGAAAUCGUGGGUAGC